RNAcentral lists this ribosomal RNA (460 nucleotides) under uncultured bacterium. RNAcentral describes it as "partial 16S ribosomal RNA". It matches the Rfam family "Bacterial small subunit ribosomal RNA", at positions 338 to 795 of the family's 1533-position model. The record is from RNAcentral.
CCUACGGGAGGCAGCAGUGAGGAAUAUUGGUCAAUGGGCGCGAGCCUGAACCAGCCAAGUAGCGUGAAGGAUGACUGCCCUAUGGGUUGUAAACUUCUUUUAUAAAGGAAUAAAACGAGGCACGUGUGCCUUUUUGCAUGUACUUUAUGAAUAAGGAUCGGCUAACUCCGUGCCAGCAGCCGCGGUAAUACGGAGGAUCCGAGCGUUAUCCGGAUUUAUUGGGUUUAAAGGGAGCGUAGAUGGGUUGUUAAGUCAGUUGUGAAAGGUUGCGGCUCAACCGUAAAAUUGCAUUUGAUACUGUAAGUCUUGAGUACAGUUGAGGUAGGCGGAAUGCAUGGUGUAGCGGUGAAAGGCGUAGAUAUCAGGAAGAACACCGAUUGCGAAGGCAGCUUACUAAACUGUAACUGACGUUGAGGCUCGAAAGUGUGGGGAGCAAACAGGAUUAGAUACCCCAGUAGUC